AGAACGAACGCUGGCGGCACGCCUAACACAUGCAAGUCGAGCGCCCAGCAAUGGGAGCGGCGGACGGGUGAGUAACACGUGGGAACAUGCCUUUCGGUACGGAACAACUGCGGGAAACUGCAGCUAAUGCCGUAUACGCCCUUACGGGGAAAGAUUUAUCGCCGAAAGAUUGGCCCGCGUCUGAUUAGCUAGUUGGUGAGGUAACGGCUCACCAAGGCUUCGAUCAGUAGCUGGUUUGAGAGAACGACCAGCCACAUUGGGACUGAGACACGGCCCAAACUCCUACGGGAGGCAGCAGUGGGAAUCUUGGACAAUGGGGAAACCCUGAUCCAGCGAUGCCGCGUGAGUGAUGAAGGCCUUCGGGUUGUAAAACUCUUUCGACGGGGACGAUAAUGACGGUACCGUAGAAGAAGCUCCGGCUAACUUCGUGCCAGCAGCCGC
Molecule: ribosomal RNA, 441 nt
Filed under: uncultured bacterium
Lineage: Bacteria
Description: SSU rRNA
Rfam family: Bacterial small subunit ribosomal RNA
Source: RNAcentral